This 255-nucleotide long non-coding RNA is filed under the name Sorghum bicolor (sorghum). Its description in RNAcentral is "long non-coding RNA (SBIC_LNC004981)". The record is from RNAcentral. Lineage: Eukaryota; Viridiplantae; Streptophyta; Magnoliopsida; Poales; Poaceae.
AGGUAUGUAUCCCCUCAAAAGAGCAAAAGUAGAAUUAGACUUUCACCAUUGUUAUCACCAUCAUCACCAUACACCAUUCAUUCGCCACACAUGCACAUCUUGAUUUGACUUAUUGACUUGUUUCUCUGGAUCCAUGGUUUGACUAUACAAUAAAUGUCUUAUAAGUAUGUAUACUUUAUCUCCCACCUAUGAGCUCCAGAUAUCAAAAGCCUUAUUAGAGUAGGGUGAGAGAGAAGGCUAUGUCACUAUGCCUUA